AUUGAACGCGGGCGGCAGGCAUAACACAUGCAUGUCGUUCGGAGCGGCGGAAUGGUGAGGAAUGCCUAGGAAUCUGUCUGGUAGUGGGGGAUAACGUCCGGAAACGGGCGCUAAUACCGCAUACUAUCAGAUGAGCCUAGGUCGGAUGAGCUAGUUUGGGGGGUAAAGGCCUACCAAGGCGACGGUCCGUAACUGGUCUGAGCGGAGGAUCAGUCAAACUGGAACUGAUACAUGGGCCAGAAUCCGACGGGAGGCAGCAGUGGGGAAUAUUGGACAAUGGGCGAAAGCUUGAUCCAGCCAUGCCGCGUGAGUGAAGAAGGGCUCGGGAUUGGAAGGCACUGUAGGUUGUGAGGCGUUACCAACACAAUACGCACCGGGUAAGUUCGUGCCAGCCGCCGCGGUAAUAC
This 407-nucleotide ribosomal RNA is filed under the name uncultured bacterium. RNAcentral describes it as "partial 16S ribosomal RNA". It matches the Rfam family "Bacterial small subunit ribosomal RNA", at positions 30 to 526 of the family's 1533-position model. The record is from RNAcentral.